This 654-nucleotide ribosomal RNA is filed under the name Triticum aestivum (bread wheat). Its description in RNAcentral is "partial small subunit ribosomal RNA". The record is from RNAcentral. Lineage: Eukaryota; Viridiplantae; Streptophyta; Magnoliopsida; Poales; Poaceae.
AUGGAGGUGGUCAAAAAGGCUUGGAUUGAGCCGCUCGAGCAUGUUGAGCCAUAUCAAGUCCUGUUCCAUAAGCUCAAGAAGGUGGCUCUCUGCCUUUCCGAAUGGAGUAGGGGCCUUUUCUCCAAGGCAAAGGUUCACCUACACGCUGCACUAUUCGUGAUCCUACGCCUCGACAUCGCUCAAGAGACCCGACAACUCUCCCCCGAGGAGAGUGACCUUAGGGCGAGGCUUAAAAGGAGGGUCAUUAGCUUGGCCGUGCUUGAGAGAGCUCGCAAAAAGCAAAGUGCGAGAAUUGCUAACCUCAAGGAGGGUGAUGCCAACACCAAGUUCUUCCAUCGCCGGAUUAAUGCUAGAAGGAGGAAAAAUCACAUUCAUAGGCUAAAACAUGACCAAGGGUGGAUCACCGAGCAUGACGCUAAGGAGAAGCUCAUUCUGGACCACUUUUCUGAAGUGAUGAAAAAAGGAAACACGUGCAAUAAGGAUCUAAACUGGGAGGAGCUCAACUUAGAGGUACAUGACUUGCACGGCCUCGACUCACCCAUCACCGUUGAGGAGGUACAUGAGGCAAUCAAUGACAUGCCAAGUGACAAGGCGCCCGGCCCAGACAGCUUCACUGGAGCUUUUUUAAGAAGUGUUGGGACGUCAUUAAGUUGA